GGUGGGAUUACCCGCUGAACUUAAGCAUAUCAAUAAGCGGAGGAAAAGAAACUAACAAGGAUUCCCCUAGUAACGGCGAGUGAAGAGGGAAAAGCCCAAAUUUGUAAUCUGGCUCUUUCAGAGUCCGAGUUGUAAUUUUAAGAACUGUUUUCCGUGCUGGACCAUGUACAAGUCUGUUGAAAAACAGCAUCAUUGAGGGUGAAAAUCCCGUACAUGAUAUGGACUACCAGUGCAAUGUGAUACAGUCUCUAAGAGUCGAGUUGUUUGGGAAUGCAGCUCAAAGUGGGUGGUAAAUUCCAUCUAAGGCUAAAUAUAGGUGAGAGACCGAUAGCAAACAAGUACCGUGAGGGAAAGAUGAAAAGAACUUUGGAAAGAGAGUUAACAGUACGUGAAAUUGUUAAAAGGGAAACAUUUGAAGUUAGACUUGUUAUUGUUGGUUCAACUUCUUUAUUGAGGUGUAUUCCAAUGGUUAACAGACCAGCAUCAAUUUUUGGGUGUUGGAUAAGGGUUUAGGAAAUGUAGCAACCUUGGUUGUGUUAUAGUCCUUUA
RNAcentral lists this ribosomal RNA (549 nucleotides) under Nothopucciniastrum styracinum. RNAcentral's name for it is "Pucciniastrum styracinum partial large subunit ribosomal RNA". It matches the Rfam family "Eukaryotic large subunit ribosomal RNA", at positions 14 to 567 of the family's 3401-position model. Lineage: Eukaryota; Fungi; Basidiomycota; Pucciniomycetes; Pucciniales; Pucciniastraceae. The record is from RNAcentral.